This 60-nucleotide microRNA precursor is filed under the name Drosophila melanogaster (fruit fly). Its description in RNAcentral is "Dme-Mir-1_pre stem-loop". It matches the Rfam family "mir-1 microRNA precursor family", at positions 10 to 70 of the family's 79-position model. From Rfam's summary of the family: This family represents the microRNA (miRNA) mir-1 family. miRNAs are transcribed as ~70nt precursors (modelled here) and subsequently processed by the Dicer enzyme to give a ~22nt product. Lineage: Eukaryota; Metazoa; Arthropoda; Insecta; Diptera; Drosophilidae. The record is from RNAcentral.
CCAUGCUUCCUUGCAUUCAAUAGUUAUAUUCAAGCAUAUGGAAUGUAAAGAAGUAUGGAG